UAACUUUGAUUUCUAAUAUUCUAUCUAUCAUCUAGACGAGUUGCAUAAUUUUUGAGUGAGAAGCCAUUUGAAUUUCUGUGAUCCAAGAAUCCAAGCCAGCCAAAGGGAUUGUCGAGGCCACCCAUAGGAAGCUUUCUCCGGAAUUGAGAUAUACACACUAAGGGGAAUCACACAGUUUGACUCCAGCAAUUACUUGGAAAUGGGUUUGUGGACGCUGCUGGAGGGUUGUCUGCUUCUCGCAAAUGCACUAGCAAUAUUAAACGAGGAACGGUUUCUAAUACCUAGAGGGUGGAGCUUCCAGGAAUUUUCAGGGGUGAGGAGAAACUCAUUCAAGGGACAGCUUAUUGGUCUAAUAUAUGCAACACAGUACUUGAGAGUGCUUCUGAUGAUACUCAACUCCCUUUGCAUUGUUGUGAAACUAGUUUCUGGCUAAUAUAUUUUGUGUGAUGCAGUGUGAUGCUGGCCUAGUAGAUUGCUUGAAAUUUGUGUAGUUUAUUGGUGGAUUUUUGGCGGGUGUAUGGUCUACAAGAGAUUUAAGAGCAAGAUUCAUGCAUUUGUUUUAAUGAGAUUGUUUGAUCCUGAUGUCAACGUCUCCAAAUUCAAUGGUGACUAUAGAUGAAUAUGAUCGCACCCUUAUUGAAGCCUGAACUUUUUUAGUUUGUUGUUUAAGAUCAUGAAGCUGUAUGUAAAUUGUAAACUGAUGAGAAAAUGAGAGGCAAAGAGUUGAGUUUA
Molecule: RNA transcript, 732 nt
Organism: Daucus carota subsp. sativus
Lineage: Eukaryota; Viridiplantae; Streptophyta; Magnoliopsida; Apiales; Apiaceae
Exons: 5
Source: RefSeq, a predicted model, not a curated record